CCGGUGACGAAGAAGAGGGAAGAGGAAGAGGAAGAGGAAGAAGGAAGAAGGAAGAAGGAAGAAGAAGGGAAAAGAGGAAGAGGGAAGAGGAAAAGGAAGAGGGUUCGUCACCGUCGUGGCCGUCGCCGCCGUAUCUCCUCGCCGGCGACGAAGAAGAAAGAAGAGGAAGAGGAGGAAGAGGAAGAAGGGUAAAUACGUCAAUUCACACUAUACUUAAUCAUGGUUAAGUAUUUUAACCGUGGUUAACGAAAAAUUUCUAACAGAUCUGGACGGCAGGGACAUAUCUGCAUAACUUAGGACUUUUGCAGGGACAACUUAUGGAGUUUCCGUUUUGCAGGGAUAUUUCCGCAAUUUACUAUGUUUGUAGGGACGUGUAUGCAAAUAACGCUUAAAAUUUUAACAGUUAUAUAUGUAAUUGUCUGAAAUAUUAUUAUUUAUUUGCGGCGCAGUGCGGCUUCUAAACUAAUUUUAACUACUCACAU
RNAcentral lists this long non-coding RNA (482 nucleotides) under Ananas comosus (pineapple). RNAcentral describes it as "long non-coding RNA (ACOM_LNC040387)". The record is from RNAcentral. Lineage: Eukaryota; Viridiplantae; Streptophyta; Magnoliopsida; Poales; Bromeliaceae.